RNAcentral lists this ribosomal RNA (429 nucleotides) under uncultured archaeon. RNAcentral's name for it is "bacterial SSU rRNA". It matches the Rfam family "Archaeal small subunit ribosomal RNA", at positions 474 to 903 of the family's 1478-position model. The record is from RNAcentral.
AACCAGCUCUUCAAGUGGUCGGGAUGAUUAUUGGGCUUAAAGUGUCCGUAGCCGGUUUAGUAAGUUCCUGGUAAAAUCAGGUAGCUUAACUAUCUGUAUGCUAGGAAUACUACUAUACUAGAGGGCGGGAGAGGUCUGAGGUACUACAGGGGUAGGGGUGAAAUCUUAUAAUCCUUGUAGGACCACCAGUGGCGAAGGCGUCAGACUGGAACGUGCCUGACGGUGAGGGACGAAAGCCAGGGGAGCGAACCGGAUUAGAUACCCGGGUAGUCCUGGCCGUAAACGAUGCAUACUAGGUGAUGGCCCGGCCAUGAGCCGUGUCAGUGCCGUAGGGAAACCGUUAAGUGUGCCGCCUGGGAAGUACGGUCGCAAGGCUAAAACUUAAAGGAAUUGGCGGGGGAGCACCACAAGGGGUGAAGCCUGCGGUUC